ACAUGACGUAAUCUUUUUGUCGUAUAUAUGUUGACAGUAGUCUCAGCUGUUGAUUCAAGUACUCUUCAGAUUCCUUUUGAAAGUAGGCCUUUGGACAGGAUAGGCUUACAGCAUUCACUUCAUGUAGCUUAAUGAUACAAUAUAUAAUAAUGCAACGACUUAUUCCCUAAAUAUGGUUAGUUAAUAGACUAUAAUAAACCGUUUCUGUUAUGCAUGUAGCCUAUGAAAUGGUAGGCUGUCAAGUUAUUAGGGAAACUAGAAUAAUUAGUUACACUACAGCGCCCCCUUCAGGAUAUGGCACAGAUUACACCCUGUUUAUUGUUAUAAGACAUGAUGAAAUAUUUUAUAAACAUAAACAAAACAUAGAAACAACUACAUCAUCACCCGUAGCCAGACCCACUAGCAGAACCGCCACGUUGUUUCCUUAUAACGUCCUCUAAAUGUCCUAUUAGAGUCAUCUGUUCUUAUUGAACAUUGAUUUCUAGAUUUACAAUCUUGCACUUAUUUUGUCCAUGUUGUGAUUGUGUAAAGAGGGACCCAAUGACGCUCCUUCCCAACUGGCACAUUAUUAAACUGUAAAACAGGGUUCAAAACAUUAGGAACACCUUCAUAAUAUUUAGUUCAGAACAGUCUCAAUUUGUCAGGACAUGGUCUCUACAAGGUGUCCAAAGCGUUCCACAGGGAUGCUGGCCCAUGUUGUCUCUAAAAGGUGUCUAAAGCGUUCCCCAGGGAUGCUGGCCCAUGUUGUCUCUACAAGGUGUCCAAAGCGUUCCACAGGGAUGCUGGCCCAUGUUGACUCUACAAGGUGUCCAAAGCGUUCCACAGGGAUGCUGGCCCAUGUUGACUCUACAAGGUGUCCAAAGCGUUCCACAGGGAUGCUGGCCCAUGUUGUCUCUACAAGGUGUCCAAAGCGUUCCACAGGGAUGCUGGCCCAUGUUGUCUCUACAAGGUGUCCAAAGCGUUCCACAGGGAUGCUGGAGGGGGGCUAUCCCAUGUUGUAC
Oncorhynchus tshawytscha (Chinook salmon) is the source of this 1001-nucleotide long non-coding RNA. NCBI's taxonomy places the organism in Eukaryota, Metazoa, Chordata, Actinopteri, Salmoniformes, Salmonidae. The record is from Ensembl.